This 102-nucleotide small nuclear RNA is filed under the name Microtus ochrogaster (prairie vole). Lineage: Eukaryota; Metazoa; Chordata; Mammalia; Rodentia; Cricetidae. The record is from RNAcentral.
AUAUUUUUGGCAGUGUGUACUACUAAAGAUAGGCUGUUGCAGAGAUUUGCAUGGCCCCUGUGCAGGGAUGAUACCCAAAUCUGCAAAGUGUUCCACAUUUUU